GAUGCAGACAUGUCCGAUUCUAAUGUCUCUCAUUUACCAACAAAAAUUACUGCUAAAGACCGUGCAAAACCAUUCCCUGAUGGAUCAAACGAGCGGACCAUAGACCAGACAAAUCACUGCGACGAAAGCUGCUGCAUCCAGAUCUAUUGCGAGCGCUGAGAGAAUGAAGCUCCGGAAUGUAAAAAUAUGCAACAGGCAUCGAAUUUUACAGACAAUCUCCAAGAACAAGGGAAAGACAAAGAAGACGUGUGACAUCGCUGUCAGUCUUGGCUGGUGAUUAAACUCCCUUGUCUCCAGUGUUCAGCUGUGAAUAUUCCUCCUGCAGUCCCUCAUUGUGCAUUCUGACUCAUCUAGAGAUUUCUUCAGAUGUCUGCCCACAAUGAAGGUUUCCCAGAGACUAUGGGUUGAGGAGGAAUUGGAAGUUUGUCAGCUUAGACCUGGUGUCAUUCCAUCAGUGUUAAACUUCCCGGCUCAUCUUGGAAGAGUACGUGCCAGAAAGACCACGACCAAGCAGCCUUGAGAUCUUAGGCAGCGUCUCCCUGAGGUCCCUCUCUAUCUCCCCACACAUCCACCAACCACUGGAACACAUCUCCAAAGUUCUGCUGGACCAGCUCAGCUUCCCCUCAGAAGAAGUUCCACCACCUGCCAGAUGAAGGAGCCUUUUGAGAGGCAGCUGACAUCGUAAUUGGACUGUACUUUGGUCUGUUCCAAUCCAGCUUCAGCUCCAGAGACGGCAGGCGGGACGAGUCAACGGAGGCCGGGUGGACGAAGGCAUGCAGCUGAGUACAAUACAGAAAACAACAGAGGAGGAGUACAGCGGCUCAGGGCCAGAACAAACAGAGUAGCAUCAUAUGUCUCUUAGAAAACAUCAUAGUACAGCCUUUGGUAUGAAAAAACGCCAUCAUAUGCAUCGUAUAUUGUACAAAUAAGUCAAAGGAAAGAGACAUACAUUGUAGAAUUGUAGUAAUUGUGGGCUGACUGAUUUACUGAUUAUCAGUAUUUUAAUUUUUACUGAUUUACGGUAAUAAAUACAUUUAAAAA
Molecule: long non-coding RNA, 1041 nt
Organism: Amphiprion ocellaris (clown anemonefish)
Lineage: Eukaryota; Metazoa; Chordata; Actinopteri; Pomacentridae
Exons: 5
Source: RefSeq, a predicted model, not a curated record